UGAUGAGAUUGUCAACAUUGCCCGGCAG
RNAcentral lists this non-coding RNA (28 nucleotides) under Mus musculus (house mouse). Lineage: Eukaryota; Metazoa; Chordata; Mammalia; Rodentia; Muridae. The record is from RNAcentral.